CUGUGAGAUUACAUAUGCAUAUAGUGUUAAUGCUAUAAGAGUGUAGUAUCAACUCACAAAGUUAUCAGGUUAAAUAGCUUUAUCAACUAAUAAAAAUGUUAUUGCAUAACUAAUGUUAUACUGUAGUCCCGCCACGAUAUCCAGCGAAAAUUAUUUUGCUGAGUAUCGUAGUAAAAGUUAAGAUAUGAUGUUAAGAAUUUUUUUGAGUCGUACAACAACAUUAACAGCAAACUAUAAUACAAAUCUAUCUUUUUAAAAGUUUGUAUUGC
Molecule: unclassified non-coding RNA, 269 nt
Filed under: Candidatus Rickettsia andeana
Lineage: Bacteria; Pseudomonadati; Pseudomonadota; Alphaproteobacteria; Rickettsiales; Rickettsiaceae
Source: RNAcentral